GAAAAGUGCCUCAAACGGAAUA
RNAcentral lists this non-coding RNA (22 nucleotides) under Arabidopsis thaliana (thale cress). Lineage: Eukaryota; Viridiplantae; Streptophyta; Magnoliopsida; Brassicales; Brassicaceae. The record is from RNAcentral.